UACGUAGGGUCCGAGCGUUGUCCGGAAUUAUUGGGCGUAAAGAGCUCGUAGGCGGUGUGUCGCGUCGGCCGUGAAAACCUGCAGCUUAACUGUGGGCUUGCGGUCGAUACGGGCAUCACUGGAGUUCGGCAGGGGAGACUGGAAUUCCUGGUGUAGCGGUGGAAUGCGCAGAUAUCAGGAGGAACACCGAUGGCGAAGGCAGGUCACUGGGCCGCAACUGACGCUGAGGAGCGAAAGCAUGGGGAGCGAACAGG
RNAcentral lists this ribosomal RNA (254 nucleotides) under uncultured bacterium. RNAcentral describes it as "partial 16S ribosomal RNA". It matches the Rfam family "Bacterial small subunit ribosomal RNA", at positions 524 to 776 of the family's 1533-position model. The record is from RNAcentral.